CAGCAGCCGCGGGAAUACGUAGGGUGCGAGCGUUAAUCGGAAUUACUGGGCGUAAAGCGUGCGCAGGCGGUUUUGUAAGACAGAGGUGAAAUCCCCGGGCUCAACCUGGGAACUGCCUUUGUGACUGCAAGGCUAGAGUACGGCAGAGGGGGAUGGAAUUCCGCGUGUAGCAGUGAAAUGCGUAGAUAUGCGGAGGAACACCGAUGGCGAAGGCAAUCCCCUGGGCCUGUACUGACGCUCAUGCACGAAAGCGUGGGGAGCAAACAGGAUUAGAUACCCCCGUAGUCCCUGUCUCUUAUAC
Molecule: ribosomal RNA, 301 nt
Filed under: uncultured bacterium
Lineage: Bacteria
Description: partial 16S ribosomal RNA
Rfam family: Bacterial small subunit ribosomal RNA
Source: RNAcentral